UUGACCUCAAAUCAGGUGGGACUACCCGCUGAACUUAAGCAUAUCAAUAAGCGGAGAAAAGAAACUAACAAGGAUUCCUUUAGUAACUGCGAGUGAAGUGGGAAGAGCUCAAAUUUGAAAUCUGGCAGUCUCUGGCUGUCCGAGUUGUAAUCUAGAGAAGUGUUGCCCGCGCUGGACCGUGUACA
RNAcentral lists this ribosomal RNA (185 nucleotides) under Leucocoprinus gongylophorus. Its description in RNAcentral is "Leucoagaricus gongylophorus partial 28S ribosomal RNA". It matches the Rfam family "Eukaryotic large subunit ribosomal RNA", at positions 1 to 183 of the family's 3401-position model. Lineage: Eukaryota; Fungi; Basidiomycota; Agaricomycetes; Agaricales; Agaricaceae. The record is from RNAcentral.